AUGCACUCACGAUGCAAUAGAAGAUGGCCGUACAAACAUGAUCCCUGCGUCCAAACACGAUCGCCGCAGGCAGCCGAACCAGUAGCUGGUCUCGUCGGCCAAUGCGGCUACUCCUACUCCACGGCCUCGAGAUCCCAGAGGUUGGCCGCGAAGGUGGCCGUGAUCACCGGCGCUGUUGGCGGCAUUGGCAAGGCAACAACGGCGGAGUUCGACAAGAACGGCACCAAGGUCGUCCUCACCAAUGUCCAGGACGAUCUAGGCCACGCUCUGGCGGCCGAGCUCGGCGCCGACUCCGCGGCGUACACCUGUUGCGACGUGACCGACGAGGCGUAGGUUGCCGCGGUGAUCGACCUUACCGUGGUCUGCCACGGUAAGCUUGACAUCAUGCUCAACAACGCCGGCAUCGUGGGUUCCCUCGCGCGGCCCGAGCUGGGCGCUCUCGACCUAACGGACUUCGGUGCCGUCAUGGCGAUCAACACCCGAGGCGUCAUGGUCGGGGUCAAGCACGUGACCCGCUUCAUGGCGCUGCACCGCGCACGCAGCACCAUCUGCACGGCCAGCAUCGUCGGCGUGCUAGGCCAGCUAACGCCGCACCCGUACAAUGUCUCCAAGUUCAUGGUAGUGGGGCUUGUGCGCUCCAUGGCGGGGGAGCUGGCGCGCUCGGGCGUGCGCGUCAACGUCAUGAUGGUCCGGCGAGCCGCGUGCUGCUCAUCGACGGUGAACGGCGAGGGAAAAGACGGGCAACCGAAAGAGCAGUGGGCAGGUCGGAGGGGCGGCAGCUCAAACCUUGUCCACGUGAAAGCUCAACGCCGUCGAUGGUUGGUCUUUUUAUUCGGGAAGACCGUGUACGUGAGGAUGCUAACUAGUUGGUGGUCAGGUGGGAUCCCGGUGGGCUAUUUGGGAUAG
This 906-nucleotide ribosomal RNA is filed under the name Triticum aestivum (bread wheat). Its description in RNAcentral is "partial small subunit ribosomal RNA". The record is from RNAcentral. Lineage: Eukaryota; Viridiplantae; Streptophyta; Magnoliopsida; Poales; Poaceae.